GCAACUCUGGUUCAGUGGCGGACGGGUGCGUAACACGUGAGGAACAUGACUUUCGGUGGGGGAUAGCCGGCCCAACGGCCGGGUAAUACCGCGUACGACCUCUUGGGGACAUCCCCGAGUGGUGAAAGCAGCAAUGCGCCGAAAGAGUGCCUCGCGGCCUAUCAGCUAGUUGGUGGGGUAAUGGCUCACCAAGGCGACGACGGGUAGCUGGUCUGAGAGGAUGGCCAGCCACAUUGGGACUGAGACACGGCCCAGACUCCUACGGGAGGCAGCAGUGGGGAAUAUUGCGCAAUGGGCGAAAGCCUGACGCAGCGACGCCGCGUGUGGGAUGACGGCCUUCGGG
This 343-nucleotide ribosomal RNA is filed under the name uncultured bacterium. RNAcentral's name for it is "bacterial SSU rRNA". It matches the Rfam family "Bacterial small subunit ribosomal RNA", at positions 81 to 422 of the family's 1533-position model. The record is from RNAcentral.